UCUCCUGAAACGAGCAUGGACUAAGGUGAAAAAGAAAUUCGAGCAGUUCUGGCGAAGGUGGGUUUUGGAGUACCUGCCAACACUAACCAAACGUACUAAGUGGUUCAAUGAAACGAGAGAUAUUGCGGUAGGAGAUGUGGUACUCAUAUUCAAUGAAGGAAAGCGGAAUUCCUGGGAGCGAGGAUUGAUCGUAGAACUCAUCGCUGCAUCGGAUGGACGGAUUCGACAAGCCUGGUUUCGAACGGGCAAUGGUGUAUAUCGGAAGCCGAUUGCUAAGCUAGCAAUCCUUGAAGUGUCGUCUCGAGAAAAUGGUUCCAGAGAGUUGCCUGACUGCGAAGGUGGCUCCAUAGUGAGCAACGAUGAAGGCGUGAACGAGGAUUCCGGAAGUGAUGAAACCGAGGCCAGCCGUAGGUUCCAUCGGGGGGAGAAUGUUGGAAAACUGGCCACCGUGCCAGUCCGCGGUUUUUGCAAAAGUCGCUGAGAAAUAACAGCGAAAACUAAACGUCAUCGUUGCCGCCAAAAGUGACGGCACGAGGAAAAUUUUCACUUCUGUUAGCCAUUUUCGUAUCGAGUUGCGUACUGCGUAGAAGCAGAAAGUUUGUAUUUGUACUGAAAACUAAAUGUUUGAAGUGUUCCGUUUUGCUAAAUAUUGUUGAUUUUUGGAAUCAGGAGCGUAGGAUCAUUAUCAGGCAAAAACGCUGAUAUUGGAUUGACCAUCUCUGUUGAACAGAGCGCUAAAAGUAGCAAAUCGGACUCUUUGCUCUCGAUACGAGGUUGAACUGAGUUGUAUUAGGGCCGGAAUAGCUAGGGUCACUGAUUUGUAAGUUCUAACCUAUAAAACCAUUUUGAACCAUGUUUGUAACAACUUAUCAUUUGUUCCGUAGAAUUGAAGCAUCACUACAAAACUAUAAAUAUAGUCUGCUAUCAGUACCAGUGCAUCGCUUUUCAUU
This is a long non-coding RNA of Uranotaenia lowii, 950 nucleotides long. RefSeq lists it as uncharacterized. NCBI's taxonomy places the organism in Eukaryota, Metazoa, Arthropoda, Insecta, Diptera, Culicidae. The transcript has 3 exons. The record is from RefSeq and is a predicted model, not a curated record.